RNAcentral lists this non-coding RNA (144 nucleotides) under Schistosoma mansoni. Lineage: Eukaryota; Metazoa; Platyhelminthes; Trematoda; Strigeidida; Schistosomatidae. The record is from RNAcentral.
CCUGACCGUGGCUGAUACCUUGACGUGGUGGUCGGGCUUGCCUAUCGUGAUGAUCCAACCGAGCUAUACUGGCUGGAACAAUUGUUCCUCAAGGUUCCACCAUGGCAGACAGGUCGGUUGAAGAGCGGUAAGACUAAAAGCAGC